Molecule: long non-coding RNA, 2924 nt
Filed under: Mus musculus (house mouse)
Lineage: Eukaryota; Metazoa; Chordata; Mammalia; Rodentia; Muridae
Description: long non-coding RNA chr3:136763558-136766482
Source: RNAcentral
CACACGAGUCAGAGAGUGUAUUUUAUUUACGAUUAAAUAUUUCUAAAGUUUUAUUUUGUAUAACUUGUAGAACACGUUUGAUUCUCUGUCAGUCUGCACAAGCCUCCAUACCUGUCUGUAUUCUCAGAGGUCAAUAACCUCAAAUAUCCCCACAUAACUUGAACAUCCUUUCCCUCCAUUUCCGUUCCCAUUCCUGGGAAUUUCCUCCCAUCCAUCACCAUUUCUGUUGUCCUUCCCCUCUCUUACAGGCUCCUCUUAAGCCAGUUUCCACUCUGGGAGCCAUGGUGCCUCCCUGGGCCCCGCUGUACUCCCUGUGCCUCCGUGUGUCUCCGUUUGCCUCUUUCCACUUCUUUCCCAGAUGCCCUGUGGACAAGGCUGGAAACAGCACACAAGGGAAUGAUUAGCUGAAAUUUGGCCUUGGGAACUGUGGAGACCAACAAGCUUGCAACCACUUCCUAAGGACUCAGAUUUUAUUAACCCAUUCUAAAUUCACCCCUCCCCUUCCUUGCCUGUUACCAGCCUCCCUGACUGUUUGUUUUCUUUCCCUUUCUUUUCUUUUAGUCAAGAUUUACUUUUUAGACCAAUGAUUAUAUCAAAAUAGAGUUCGUGGGAAUGCAGCUUUGAGAGCAGGGGUUGUCUCACAAUCCUCCUUUCUCUGUGUUUGAGUUUGCUCCAGUUCUCAUAAUGCAACCACUAAGUCCCAAGAAUAAUUUCUUUCACUAAGGAAGUAGGUGAAAUUAGACUCCAGGGUAGGGAGCUGCUUGCUGCCUGGACCUAGGACCCCAGAGCUGGCCUUUCCAAGCCACAGACAUUUUCUCCCUGGAUAUGUUGCACACAUGCAUGUUCAGACUACUGAAUUAAAGUCAUCAUUUUAGUACGAUACUACUUUUUUGGAAUUACAAGGUGUUGGCUAUCUUUAGUAAUUUCGGAGACUGUAUUGAAUCAAUUCUUAGCUGGUUCUUUAAAAUGUGUAUUCUGCAUCCUUCUGCAGCACAUUUUUGAACUAAUUCAGUCAUUAUUAGACUUAACAUUAACUGCUGGAGCCAGUCUAAUACUACAGCAGAAGGUCCUUCCUCAGUCAUUUGAUGCUGGUAGAUGAGAUGCUGGGGUAUUUCAUGCUGGGCCUCCAUUCAGAAAUUCCCAGAGAGCCAGCCAUGUACACUUUGUUAAUUGGAAAACCAAGUCUAUCAUCCAAUGGGACCACACCAACUCUGCUUUCCAGAAGUUAUCUUUGCAGAGUUUGUGCAUUCCCUGAGCCUUUCUUAAUUAAACAACUCUGCUCACAGCAGUGUGUACAGCUACUGCUACGUGAGGCCCCUUGGGCAGUUAACCUGGGUUGCCUUUCUCCUUGCUGGGACUGGCUAGGCCCAUCCUUUUCCUACAGUUGAAGUCUUUGAUAGUUGGAAUUUUGCAAAUUUCAGUGCAUGUUGUGCAUUCACAGAAGCAUAUCUGAAGAACGUAAUCAAAAUCAACGCUACCACAAAGAUUCUUUUUUCCUCCAAAUAUGCAUAGAGAGACUGUGUUUUGACUUUUUUUUUUCAUGAAGUAAAUGGAAUCCUAAUUCAAGACAAAUUGGAAAGAUAAAAUGUAAAAUUCCUUUUUGUAAAAAAAUCAAGGCUGCUCCUUAGUUUGGUUUGGAGUUUCCCUGUCGCAGAAUGAAAUGGAUAAUUAAAUGCAUAUAGUUCAAUCUGAUUACUAACUAGAUAAUUACCCUUCAUAGACGCUUCAGAUGCGGUGGGUACAGGAGUUUGAAUUAUAAUUCCAUUCUCACAAGAUUCCCCUUCUGUGACUGUUUCAGUAAUUCUCGUUUCGACGUGGCAAUAGUUUACAGUUGUGCCGCCUUCUGUGUAUACCACAUGAAGAAGACUUUCCUGGUGAUCAAAAGAAACUCCCCUCCCUUUUGGGUGCCUGAAAAGUUCACCUCUAUUUUAGUUCCUUGCACCAUUAAGUGUUUUAAGUACUUCUCUAAGAUGAAGACAUCACACUCGCUUAAAAUUAUUUGCUACAUCGCAUUUUCUCGCAUUGUAUCCCAACCUCAGAUAAGCACUGGUUUAGAAUGUGAGUCAUGGAGAGACUUCCUUGGGAAGGCACUCCCUAGAGAGGGAGAUGAGGCCUCUGAGCUCCACGGGCCACAGAUAGGACUGAGCAGGAGAAGUGAAGUUUUGUCUUUGUUCUGUACUUUAUUGUGGUCCCCUAAUUAAUCAGCAAAAACUUGUUGAAUUGGGUUUCUGUCUGGAAGGGAUUAAGUGAUACACACAAAACUAUAGCUCCCUGUCUUUUUAGACUGUUCAAUGAAGCAGGAACUAAAGCACAGUUGGUACAGUUGUGCUUUUAUGACUCUGCAGCCCAAUAACAGGAAGGGUGCCUGGGGGAACAGCAGGCAUCAGGCAGAAGGAAGAUUCAGUUGAUUUUUAAAUUAUGAAUAAACCACUGACUCUCCUAAAAAUGAUCAGCAUUCAUUGUAUAAAAUGUAUUUAGCUGUCAUGUUUUCCAUUGUAUUAUGCACAUGCUGUUUUUAGUAAAUACGAUACUCUAUCACAUGUCCAUAUAUAUUAAUGUACACACUUAUAUCCCAUUACCCCAUUGACACCCAUGCUUUCAGCAUUGAACUAACCAGUAGAACUAUAUUUAUUUAUGGUUGGAGUACUUACUCAUUUAAUGUAGACCUUGCCUGAUUUUAAAAAGAGCUGUAAAAUUUAUACACUAAGUGCCAUCCAUAUUUUUUCAAAAGAAUAUUCUCCUGGGGCUGGAUGCCUUGGAGUUUGAGAGCAUAUGCUGUUCUCAUAGAGGAUCCAAGUUUGGUUCUUAGCACCUUUGUCAGGUGACCCACAGCUGCUGUGACUUCUACUCCAGGGGAUCCAGCGUGUUCUGGCCUUCAAGGAUACCUGCAUACAUAUGUCAAGUACAUGUACAUAAAUAAAAGC